This 449-nucleotide ribosomal RNA is filed under the name uncultured bacterium. RNAcentral describes it as "partial 16S ribosomal RNA". It matches the Rfam family "Bacterial small subunit ribosomal RNA", at positions 29 to 523 of the family's 1533-position model. The record is from RNAcentral.
AACGAACGCUGGCGGCAUGCCUAACACAUGCAAGUCGAACGAGAUCUUCGGGUCUAGUGGCGCACGGGUGCGUGACGCGUGGGAAUCUGCCCUUUGGUUCGGAAUAACAGUUGGAAACGACUGCUAAUACCGGAUGAUGACGAAAGUCCAAAGAUUUAUCGCCAGAGGAUGAGCCCGCGUAGGAUUAGCUAGUUGGUGUGGUAAAGGCGCACCAAGGCGACGAUCCUUAGCUGGUCUGAGAGGAUGAUCAGCCACACUGGGACUGAGACACGGCCCAGACUCCUACGGGAAGCAGCAGUGGGGAAUAUUGGACAAUGGGCGAAAGCCUGAUCCAGCAAUGCCGCGUGAGUGAUGAAGGCCUUAGGGUUGUAAAGCUCUUUUACCCGGGAUGAUAAUGACAGUACCGGGAGAAUAAGCUCCGGCUAACUCCGUGCCAGCAGCCGCCGUAA